RNAcentral lists this ribosomal RNA (301 nucleotides) under uncultured bacterium. RNAcentral describes it as "partial 16S ribosomal RNA". It matches the Rfam family "Bacterial small subunit ribosomal RNA", at positions 509 to 807 of the family's 1533-position model. The record is from RNAcentral.
CAGUCGCCGCGGUAAUACGUAGGGUGCAAGCGUUAAUCGGAAUUACUGGGCGUAAAGCGUGCGCAGGCGGUUAUAUAAGACAGAUGUGAAAUCCCCGGGCUCAACCUGGGAACUGCAUUUGUGACUGUAUAGCUAGAGUACGGCAGAGGGGGAUGGAAUUCCGCGUGUAGCAGUGAAAUGCGUAGAUAUGCGGAGGAACACCGAUGGCGAAGGCAAUCCCCUGGGCCUGUACUGACGCUCAUGCACGAAAGCGUGGGGAGCAAACAGGAUUAGAGACCCCUGUAGUCCCUGUCUCUUAUAC